UCCCUAGUGGCUCAGAUGGUAAAGAAUCUGCCUACAAUGCAGAAGACCCAGGUUCGAUUUCUGGAUUGGGAA
This 72-nucleotide transfer RNA is filed under the name Ovis aries (sheep). It matches the Rfam family "tRNA". Rfam says of the family: Transfer RNA (tRNA) molecules are approximately 80 nucleotides in length. Their secondary structure includes four short double-helical elements and three loops (D, anti-codon, and T loops). The record is from Rfam by way of RNAcentral. Lineage: Eukaryota; Metazoa; Chordata; Mammalia; Artiodactyla; Bovidae.